GUGCUAUUUGGAAGCAGAGAAA
Molecule: small nuclear RNA, 22 nt
Filed under: Arabidopsis thaliana (thale cress)
Lineage: Eukaryota; Viridiplantae; Streptophyta; Magnoliopsida; Brassicales; Brassicaceae
Description: snRNA_17094
Source: RNAcentral